UGGUAUUUCCUCUACAAGUCCCAAUUCAUAGAUUUCCCAGAUUCAUUAAGACCAAAAAGUUAUUCAUGGUCAAAGUAGCCCCCUUGAACUGUCUCUGACAGUGUUCUUGAGAUGAAGAACACCUAUAGCGACGGUUGUCUGUCGCUAUAGCCUUUAGCGACGGAUUUUAUUUAUUUUAUUUUCUGUAAUUUUCGAAAAUGAUUUAAAAAUUAGAAAAAUU
This 220-nucleotide long non-coding RNA is filed under the name Panax ginseng (ginseng). RNAcentral describes it as "long non-coding RNA (PGIN_LNC001439)". The record is from RNAcentral. Lineage: Eukaryota; Viridiplantae; Streptophyta; Magnoliopsida; Apiales; Araliaceae.